AUAUCACGUUAAAAUGUCUGUUCUCGUCCGAUCACUGAAGAUAAGCAGCGUUGAGCCUGAUCGGUAACUAGAUGGGUGACCGCUUGGGAAUACUAGGUACUGUAAG
Acanthosepion pharaonis is the source of this 106-nucleotide non-coding RNA. The record is from the annotation of a GenBank genome assembly. Lineage: Eukaryota; Metazoa; Mollusca; Cephalopoda; Sepiida; Sepiidae.